CAAGUGACAAGAUCCCAGCUCAACCUUCAGCAGACCCAGAGACGCCAAGUGAAAAGAUCCCAGAUAAACCUUCAGCAGACCCAGAGGUGAGACAGAAAUCCACUUCAUCCUUCCAACAGACACCAAGUGACAAGAUCCCAGCUCAACC
Molecule: long non-coding RNA, 148 nt
Organism: Coregonus clupeaformis (lake whitefish)
Lineage: Eukaryota; Metazoa; Chordata; Actinopteri; Salmoniformes; Salmonidae
Exons: 3
Source: RefSeq, a predicted model, not a curated record